GUCCCUGUAGUGCAACUAUGAAUAGUGUGUGCGUUGGACUUCUAAUCCAAAGGUCGUGGGUUCGAAUCCCACCUGGGAUG
Trichonephila clavipes is the source of this 80-nucleotide non-coding RNA. NCBI's taxonomy places the organism in Eukaryota, Metazoa, Arthropoda, Arachnida, Araneae, Nephilidae. The record is from the annotation of a GenBank genome assembly.